CGCGCCCUGGCAACCCCACGUGCUGCGGAUUAAUGCACUUCCGGCGUGAAGAACGCUUUCUGGAGUGCGGUUGCGGAGGGUGAACUCAAAGGUACCUGGGACUUUCUGGACAGAAGAAGAGCAGCAGAGACUGGAUGAUGGCUCGCACAGCAGACAAACCAAGAAGGAUAUGCCAUCGCUCAUGAUUGCCCAGGAUGAAGUUGAGGCCAACAAUCUGAAAAGGCAGGGAGGAAGCAUGGCAACUGCACAAUACUUAAGGUUCUAUAUGACAGUCUCUCCUCCAGCCCUGCAGCUUGGCCUGUGAAGAUGCUUCAUGGAGAAAGUACAGCCAGGAUCACAGUCAGGUAUUUUCCAUCCACAGUAGCCUUCCAGGAAAGAAGAUCAUAGGGCUUUCUGUUCUCUACAUGAAAGCAAACUCUAGUGCUUUUAUGAUAUGAACUUUGGACACAGCUUAUUGUUUUGAUGUUGAAGUAAAAGGAGCAUAUAGUUCUAUAGCUUUUUUCAAUGCCAGAACUCUGUUAUUGUUUAUUUUCCUUCUUUUAUUAAUUCAUCCGAUAAAUACAUCUACUGUUUGUCAGCUGUUCUACGAAGGAUUGGAGCGAGGCCAAUGACCAAAGUAGACACUGAUAAGCUCUAUGAAAAGCAAUAAAGCAGAAAAUGAGGGAGCAAUUACAGAUUGUAUAUGUCUCUGACAGUAAAGGAAUAUUUGUGUGGGACCUAAAGGAAAGGAGGAGCAAGUCACACAGAGGUGUGGGAGAAGAGAUGCCCAGACAGAGGAAGCAGCCAGGGCUAAGACCCUGAGACAAGAGCACUCUUCAGGAGUGUUCUGGAUAAAGCAAGGGCAGUGUGUUGGAGCAAAUGAACUAGAGAGACAGUAGAUGGGGUCAGAGAAGUGGUAGUAGUGGUUGGAGUUGGGGCAAAGGAUUGGUCAGAUUUAUGAGGGCUUUAGAGAGAGUGUAAGGAGUGGGAGUUGGGAAGACAUUACUGACCUGAGCAGAAAAGUGCCAUAACCUGUGUAUGUUUUUAAAAGUGUUGGGGCACCUGGGUGGGCUCAGUGGGUUAAGCCUCUGCCUUCGGCUCAGGUCAUGAUCUCAGGGUCCUGGGAUUGAGCCCUGCAUCAGGCUCUCUGCUCAGCGAGGAGCCUGCUUCCCCCCUCUCUCUGCCUGCCUCCCUGCCUACUUGUGAUCUCUGUCUGUCAAAUAAAUACAAUCAUUAAAAAAAAAAAAAAAAAAGUGUCAUCCCAGGCAAGAUGUAGCAUGGACUCAUAUCAUGGAUUGUAGAUAUAUUCUGAAGCAAGGAAAAACAAAUCCCCCUCCCCCCAUGGAUUAUAUGUGGUAUUUAAAAGAAAAUUUAAAGGUAACUAUAAGAUUUUCUGGUCUGGAAGAAUGGAGUUGUUUACUGACAUAGGACAUAUGUGAUGGGAGUAGAAUGGUGGGUGGGGGAGCAAAUUAGUUUAGUUUUGGAUAUGUUGAGUUGGAGAUCACAACUACAUACCCAAGUGAAGAUAUCAAGUAGGAAGUCAGACAUAGAACUCUGGCAUUCAGGAAAGAGGUUAGAGCUGGAGUCAAAAAUGUGGGUGUUUCAGUGGAUAGAGUCCCAACACUGGAAAAGAUCAUUUAGAGAGGGAAUGUUCAGGGCUGGGCACUCCAGGAACUUGGCAAUGGAGACCAAGAAAGAUUGGCUAGAGACAUGAGAGAACAGGAGGGAUAUUCCAGAGCUGAGGAAGUAUUUCAGGAAGUUUUUAUUCACUGUGUUCAAGACUGCAGCAAAGUCAAAAGCAUAAAGCCAGAAACCCAACCAUUGCAUUUAACAGCAUGGAGAUCACAUUUUUCUCAGCAAUAUCUAUUAUGGUGGGGAUGAAAGCCUGAUUUAAGUUGGUACAAGAGACCAAGGGGGGGGCGGUUUGCUGAAGACAGUAAGUAUACAUAUUUCCCUCUGACGGGUUUUGCUGUGAAGGGGAGCAGAUAAAUACGAUGGUAGAGUAAGGUGGUCAAGGUGAGUGUUUGUAAAAUAAGAGAUAGCAGCAUGAAUGUCAUGAAAUCCUCCAGUGGGAUGGGGGAAAGUGGUGAAUCAGGAGAGGGAAGGAAUUGUUGGGCCAGUGGCCUUUGUUAGGGGAGUUUGCAGGGGAGGUACCCAGAGCAAAUAGGAGGAGCCACCCACUUUGAAUUAAGUGUAGUAAUUGGUAGUAUGUUUCACUGGACAAGAGCAGGAAACUGAGAAACCCGGGUAUUUCCAGGCUUGUCCAAGUGGAUAAUGAAUCCACCAAGCAUUAAGGAGGGGUGGUGUCGGAGCCGGUGACGGUGAGUCAAAACCUGAAAAUACUUAAGCACUGCGAGGGAGGGCUGGAAGGGAAGUAGGACUUUGUAGGUUGAUGGCAAGAGUUUUAAAGCGUUGCGUGUUUAGGAGGGACGGAGAAUAGUCUGGAAGUGGCAAUGAGGAACAAGCAGGCAUCCUGCAACUAUUAAUGCUUUAUUACUCACAUUUUGACAGAGAUAACAUAAUAUAUCCCAAGGCGUGGCAGUGACUCUAUGGGAAAACCCUGGCUUAGAACCCACCAAAUCAUUUCUAACUAUUGCUCAGAACAACUAUGCACAAAAACUGAAGGCUUUUUGUAUGCAGGAAAGAAAUACUGGAAAGUACCCAAAAGGUUCAGACUAGAAAAUAUGCCAAGAAUAUUUUCUUUUAUACCUUAACACAGGUAAGACUUACCCAGUUUGAGCAUAUUUUUGACAAUGUGAAACACUUUAGAAAACUGAAGAUUUCAACAAUGUAGACACUUGUAGGCAUAGCAGAAUGACAGCCUCCCUUCCCAAUCUUGUAAACUUGGCAUCUCUAUGGUUCUGCUGACAUCGUAAAUAAGAACGCUAAAAUGCACAAAAAUAGUUUCACAACAUCCAAUUUUAAAGUUCAUCCGAGCUGUCAUCUUUUUUCCCCCUUGCUGUGAUUUCUUGCUGUCACCUAACAGUUGAAAUUCUGAUUCAGGGUAAUAACUGAGGUUUUUAUACAAAGCAUGAUACAAUAUUACUAUUCCUCCACACUAACCCCAGGGUAAGAGAUUAAGAGGAAGGUGCAACUGGGGCAUGGACAUUUGCUAUGUACACAGAAUGACCCACUGCUGGAAACAAAAACUCACCUCUCCACCAGCCUUUGCUCCGGCUCAGUAGUGCGAUGCCUCCCACUGAUGGUAAAAAUAAACCAUCAAAACCAAACCCUCGUGAGGAGUUGAGUUAGUUUGAAGAUACCUAUGCAAAGUCAAAACUCUGUAAUCUUUAGAACAUUUCUAUUUCUAACUGUGUUGCUUAGUCUUCAUCCAAAUGUUUGGCCUCGUGGACACAGAGUCCAAGAUUUUGAUCUGAAUUUAAAAUAUCUCAAAAAACGUAUCCAGGGACUUCUGUUUAAAAACACACUUCUGUGGGGAUUUUAGUUUUGCCGCAUUCUGGCACUUCCUGGAAUGGCAGGCCUACAAUUAAGUUUGCAACAGAGAGUUAGGGUCCCCUACAGUUUAACACUAUGCCAUUUUUUUGAAUCUUCUCGUUGCCCGUGGAAAACUUCCCAGAACAAUGAUACAGUAUGGAACUCAAACAACACUUGAAAAAUGCUUGGUAGAAAUGUACCAAUGGUCAGUUUUGAACCUGAAAGUUCUCAAUGGAUUUUCUUCUUUGCUGGGGCUUCUGAGAAGAGUUCAGUUUAUACCAUUUUGAGGCCCACGAAAGGACAGCACACCUUAGGGUUCCUGAUACUACUAUACUCAUCAAAGCCAAAAUGUAGUGGCAUUUGAGAAAUAUUAGCAGGUAGAUGAAAUCACAUUUAGAUUUUUGGAUUUUUACAUUGUGACUAUGUAGUCUCAAGGGAGACCAGUUAUAGAUUUGUUUGUUAUGCUUCAUUUGAUUUGGUCAGAUUCAGACUUUUGAGGAAUGAACUAAAAGAUAACUGAUCAUUCACAGAAACUGUUGAGAGGGCCAGAACUUAGUAUCAGAAAGGAUUUGGGAACAUCAGGGGCUUGGGAAGAUGAUUCAGAAUUGUUACCAGUGUGUUGUGGUUAUUUUUCUGUUUUCCUCCAGUGGGUUAAAAAAAAAAUUUUUUUUUCUUUCUUAAAAAUAAGGUAGCACAUUUCAUAUCUUAAAGCGAUCAGCACAAAUGCAGUGAUGCCUGUUCAAGCAGACUUCCAAGGACAGCACACACUAUCGACACAAAGAGCUCUUCCACAUUUCCAGAAUACAGUGACAAGAACUGGUACACAUAAUAAUAAAGAACCCCCCUCCCCUUUUUUUUUUUUUAACUUCAUGGAAUGGGAGGUCAGACUUCAGGCACUUCUUUGUCUGGCAGUGGACAAAACCAAAAGGGUUCCGACCUGAAUUUCACAUCUCUGUCUAAUCUACCGCACAAGAGGGACCAGAGACACCAAUGACCAAUGAGUCACAAGAGCAGACAGAAAACUGUUAGUAAGUCUUGACAACCAGGAAUGAAGAUGCUUUUUAAAAAUAUGUACUUGAUGCCAAGUAUGUAAGAAAUGUAUCUUAGAAAGCAAUGCCAUUGUAUUAGAAAAAUGGAGUCCCUGUCCAGGUGACCUUGUGGGAUUUCAUCUGGACCUUGAUCUAUACUGUUGAAAUAGCUGUAGGUCUUCUUGAAGCAUCAUUUAAGUCUUCAAGAAAAAUAGCGUCAUCUUAUAUAACCAGAGCCAUUGAUUCUGUGUGGAACUCAGUGCAAGCUGUCUGCAUUCAUACCCUGUGCACUGGCAACAGCCAGGGUGUAACCCGCACGGGGAGAACGCUCACUGUUUGAACGGAGAUCUUAGAGGUCUUCUGUUUCUGCAGUAUGGACGCGGGAAUUCACACUAUUUUCCCCCUCACUGGCACCCCAAAAUGAUGGUCACCUGUCAGAACCUGAACCAAGACUAUGGUUUGGGCAGGCUCCACGGAUUUUAUAGUAUGAUGAUCAAUUUAGAGCAGUAAGUCCUGAAAAGAUCUCGAGAAAAUUACUUUGGGGCAAGGGCUCAGUUUCACUUUGUAGAACAACAAAAAUAAAAUGAGCCAAUUCCAUAAACAAAAUCCCCUCUGGGAAGAACUAAAACUAAACACUGAAAACUAAUUAGUUUAAAAAAUUAAAGAAAUUUUUACUAGGGUGCUAUUAAGAUGGACAAAAAGCACAACCCUCCCCCCACCAUUAAAAAAAAAAAGGAAGGAAGAAAGAAGAUUAGCAAACCAGAAAACUGGGAAUUGCUAUGAACCAUAAUAGUCUGAAAUACUCAGCACAACUGGGGUCUCAGUGUGUCAGGCCUAGGGCCUGUCCUGAUGGAAGAGAAUGUAUUUUUGAAGAUAAAAGCUACAGGGAAGUUUUUAGAUAUCUGUUAAGGAACACAGCUUUGUUAGGGGCCCUUUUAAAUUUAGUUUUGCCUUGUACUCCAUGUAAACUAUUUGUACAAAAAUAUAGAAAGGCAUGGCUUGAUGUUUAA
Long non-coding RNA from Mustela lutreola (European mink), 5452 nucleotides. RefSeq lists it as uncharacterized. Lineage: Eukaryota; Metazoa; Chordata; Mammalia; Carnivora; Mustelidae. The transcript has 3 exons. The record is from RefSeq and is a predicted model, not a curated record.